RNAcentral lists this ribosomal RNA (497 nucleotides) under uncultured bacterium. RNAcentral's name for it is "partial 16S ribosomal RNA". It matches the Rfam family "Bacterial small subunit ribosomal RNA", at positions 28 to 507 of the family's 1533-position model. The record is from RNAcentral.
GAUGAACGCUGGCGGCGUGCCUAAUACAUGCAAGUCGAGCGAACGGACGAGAAGCUUGCUUCUCUGAUGUUAGCGGCGGACGGGUGAGUAACACGUGGAUAACCUACCUAUAAGACUGGGAUAACUUCGGGAAACCGGAGCUAAUACCGGAUGAUAUUUUGAACCGCAUGGUUCAAAAGUGAAAGACGGUCUUGCUGUCACUUAUAGAUGGAUCCGCGCUGCAUUAGCUAGUUGGUAAGGUAACGGCUUACCAAGGCAACGAUGCAUAGCCGACCUGAGAGGGUGAUCGGCCACACUGGAACUGGAACACGGUCCAGACUCCUACGGGAGGCAGCAGUAGGGAAUCUUCCGCAGUGGUCGAAAGCCUGACGGAGCAACGCCGCGUGAGUGAUGAAGGUCUUCGGAUCGUAAAACUCUGUUAUUAGGGAAGAACAUAUGUGUAAGUAACUGUGCACAUCUUGACGGUACCUAAUCAGAAAGCCACGGCUAACUACGUG